GACGAACGCUGGCGGCGUGCUUAACACAUGCAAGUCGAACGAAGAGCGAUGGAAGCUUGCUUCUAUCAAUCUUAGUGGCGAACGGGUGAGUAACGCGUAAUCAACCUGCCCUUCAGAGGGGGACAACAGUUGGAAACGACUGCUAAUACCGCAUACGAUUUAAUCUCGGCAUCGAGGAUAGAUGAAAGGUGGUCUCUACAUGUAAGCUAUCACUGAAGGAGGGGAUUGCGUCUGAUUAGCUAGUUGGAGGGGUAACGGCCCACCAAGGCGAUGAUCAGUAGCCGGUCUGAGAGGAUGAACGGCCACAUUGGGACUGAGACACGGCCCAGACUCCUACGGGAGGCAGCAGUGGGGAAUCUUCCGCAAUAGACGAAAGUCUGACGGAGCAACGCCGCGGGAGUGAUGACGGCCUUCGGGUUGUAAAGCUCUGUUAAUCGGGACGAAAGGCCUUCUUGCGAAUAGUGAGAAGGAUUGACGGUACCGGAAUAGAAAGCCACGGCUAACUACGUG
RNAcentral lists this ribosomal RNA (510 nucleotides) under uncultured bacterium. Its description in RNAcentral is "partial 16S ribosomal RNA". It matches the Rfam family "Bacterial small subunit ribosomal RNA", at positions 28 to 507 of the family's 1533-position model. The record is from RNAcentral.